UGAACCUGCGGAAGGAUCAUUAAUGAAUUCUGAAAGGGGUUGUAGCUGGCCGUUUCGUUUGAGCGGCAUGUGCACGCCCUGAUCAUUAUCCAUCUCACACACCUGUGCACAUACUGUAGGUCGGCUUUUGAUUGGAGUGGGGUCUUCAUCGACUCUGCUUUUUAGUUGGGGCCUUCCUAUGUUUUAUCACACACUACUUCAGUUAAAAGAAUGUCCUCUUGCGUCUAACGCAUUUAAAUACAACUUUCAGCAACGGAUCUCUUGGCUCUCGCAUCGAUGAAGAACGCAGCGAAAUGCGAUAAGUAAUGUGAAUUGCAGAAUUCAGUGAAUCAUCGAAUCUUUGAACGCACCUUGCGCUCCUUGGUAUUCCGAGGAGCAUGCCUGUUUGAGUGUCAUGGAAUUCUCAACUCUAUUUGCUUUUGUGAAUAGAGCUUGGACUUGGAGGUUUAUUGCCGGUACCUGUGAUCGGCUCCUCUUGAAUGCAUUAGCUCGAACCUUUUGUGGAUCAGCUUAUCGGUGUGAUAAAAUGUCUACGCCGUUACUGUGAAGCAUAUUAUUCGGCUUCCAAUCGUCCUUCACGGGACAAUAACUUUGACCUUUGACCUCAAAUCAGGUAGGAUUACCCGCUGAACUUAAGCAUAUCAAUA
Molecule: unclassified non-coding RNA, 647 nt
Filed under: Fomitopsis pinicola
Lineage: Eukaryota; Fungi; Basidiomycota; Agaricomycetes; Polyporales; Fomitopsidaceae
Description: sequence contains ITS1, 5.8S rRNA gene, ITS2
Rfam family: 5.8S ribosomal RNA (bases 242-395)
Source: RNAcentral